AAUCCCGUGUGAAUCUGCCAGGACCACCUGGUAAGCCUGAAUACUACCUGUUGACCGAUAGCGGAUCAGUACCGUGAGGGAAUGGUGAAAAGUACCCCGGGAGGGGAGUGAAAUAGUACCUGAAACCAUGUGCCUACAAACCGUUGGAGCCUCCUUGUGGGGUGACAGCGUGCCUUUUGAAGAAUGAGCCUGCGAGUUAGUGAUACGUGGCGAGGUUAACCCGUGUGGGGAAGCCGUAGCGAAAGCGAGUCUGAAUAGGGCGAUUGAGUCGCGUGUCCUAGACCCGAAGCGGAGUGAUCUACCCAUGGCCAGGUUGAAGCGCGUGUAAGAGCGCGUGGAGGACCGAACCCACUUCAGUUGAAAAUGGAGGGGAUGAGUUGUGGGUAGGGGUGAAAGGCCAAUCAAACUCCGUGAUAGCUGGUUCUCCCCGAAAUGCAUUUAGGUGCAGCGUCACGUGUUUCUUCCCGGAGGUAGAGCUACUGGAUGGACGAUGGGCCCUACAAGGUUACUGACUUCAGCCAAACUCCGAAUGCCGGGAAGUGAGAGCGUGGCAGUGAGACU
This 561-nucleotide ribosomal RNA is filed under the name Micrococcus luteus NCTC 2665. RNAcentral's name for it is "partial 23S ribosomal RNA". It matches the Rfam family "Bacterial large subunit ribosomal RNA", at positions 430 to 990 of the family's 2925-position model. The record is from RNAcentral. Lineage: Bacteria; Bacillati; Actinomycetota; Actinomycetes; Micrococcales; Micrococcaceae.